UCCUACACCGUGCCAUUUGCCUGACUAGA
Molecule: non-coding RNA, 29 nt
Filed under: Mus musculus (house mouse)
Lineage: Eukaryota; Metazoa; Chordata; Mammalia; Rodentia; Muridae
Source: RNAcentral